This is a long non-coding RNA of Folsomia candida, 587 nucleotides long. RefSeq lists it as uncharacterized. The record is from RefSeq and is a predicted model, not a curated record. NCBI's taxonomy places the organism in Eukaryota, Metazoa, Arthropoda, Collembola, Entomobryomorpha, Isotomidae. The transcript is spliced from 3 exons.
AUUAUACUCAAACCUAUUUGAUAGUCUAAACUAAAUCAUAAGAAACUGAUCAAGAUGGACAUUGCUAAGAAAGAUGGAUCGGAUUUUAUGAAGGCCUAGUGAUUGAGAUUUUGUAUCCCAAAUGAACUUCGCCCUAAUAAUUGAUUUUAGCUUUAUCAGAUAGUGACAAAUCACUAUCUGAUAAAGCUCAUUACUAGGCUGCAACUUCAGUAAGAAUUUGAGUCAGUGUAAAAAGUCAAAAGAAAGUUGCAAAGAAAUCUAAACCAUUGCGAGAUUAAGAUUUAUGUUCGUUAUAUUUAUGCAUUCUCCUGAGUAAUUGGUGCACCACAAUUGAUUAGUAAUUUAACCCUUCUUCCCCGAACAGACUAAAACGAGAUGAGCAGAAGACUGACGAUUCUUCACAUUGAUUGACCCAUGAAAAUGCUACUGAUGAUGAUGAGAAUUUUUACUCGUCUUGCUGCUAUAAUUUUCUUUACCGUAUAACUCAAUAAACCCAAAGUUCACUAGGGGAAAAGAAAAAUAUAAACUAUGGAUAAUGCCAACUAGUUCUACAAUAUGACAGCCUGUUUUUAUGAUAAAGAUAAGAA